Molecule: ribosomal RNA, 253 nt
Filed under: uncultured bacterium
Lineage: Bacteria
Description: partial 16S ribosomal RNA
Rfam family: Bacterial small subunit ribosomal RNA
Source: RNAcentral
UACGUAGGUGGCGAGCGUUGUCCGGAUUUACUGGGCGUAAAGGGAGCGUAGGCGGAUUUUUAAGUGAGAUGUGAAAUACUCGGGCUCAACUUGAGUGCUGCAUUUCAAACUGGAAGUCUAGAGUGCAGGAGAGGAGAAUGGAAUUCCUAGUGUAGCGGUGAAAUGCGUAGAGAUUAGGAAGAACACCAGUGGCGAAGGCGAUUCUCUGGACUGUAACUGACGCUGAGGCUCGAAAGCGUGGGGAGUAAACAGG